This 520-nucleotide ribosomal RNA is filed under the name uncultured Glomus. RNAcentral's name for it is "SSU rRNA". It matches the Rfam family "Eukaryotic small subunit ribosomal RNA", at positions 569 to 1094 of the family's 1831-position model. Lineage: Eukaryota; Fungi; Glomeromycota; Glomeromycetes; Glomerales; Glomeraceae. The record is from RNAcentral.
AGCAGCCGCGGUAAUUCCAGCUCCAAUAGCGUAUAUUAAAGUUGUUGCAGUUAAAAAGCUCGUAGUUGAAUUUCGGGAUUAGUACGUUGGUCGUGCCUUCGGUACGUACUGGUGUUACUGGUUCCUACCUUCUGACGAACCAUCAUGUCAUUAAUUUGGUGUGGCGGGGAAUCAGGACUGUUACUUUGAAAAAUUAGAGUGUUUAAAGCAGGCUCGCGCUUGAAUACAUUAGCGUGGAAUAAUGAAAUAGGACGUUGACCCUAUUUUGUUGGUUUCUAGGAUUGACGUAAUGAUUAAUAGGGAUAGUUGGGGGCAUUAGUAUUCAAUUGUCAGAGGUGAAAUUCUUGGAUUUAUUGAAGACUAACUACUGCGAAAGCAUUUGCCAAGGAUGUUUUCAUUAAUCAAGAACGAAAGUUAGGGGAUCGAAGACGAUCAGAUACCGUCGUAGUCUUAACCAUAAACUAUGCCGACUAGGGAUCGGAUGAUGUUAUUUUUAAUGACUCAUUCGGCGCCUUACGGG